GUCUACGGCCAUACCACCCUGAACAAGCCUGAUCCCGCCUGAUCGCGGAAGCUAAGCAGGGUCGGGCCUGGUUAGUACUUGGAUGGGAGACCACCUAGGAAGACUAGGUGCUGUAGGUG
Molecule: ribosomal RNA, 119 nt
Filed under: Pteropus alecto (black flying fox)
Lineage: Eukaryota; Metazoa; Chordata; Mammalia; Chiroptera; Pteropodidae
Source: RNAcentral